UACGUAGGGUCCGAGCGUUGUCCGGAAUUACUGGGCGUAAAGCGCGCGCAGGCGGCUCGCGAGGUGUCACGUGAAAGCCCCGGGCUCAACCCGGGAGGGUCGUGGCAAACCGGCGGGCUUGAGGCCGGUAGAGGUGGGUGGAACUCCUGGUGGAGUGGUGAAAUGCGUAGAGAUCAGGAAGAACACCCGUGGCGAAGGCGGCCCACUGGGCCGGUACUGACGCUGAGGCGCGAAGGCGUGGGGAGCGAACGGG
RNAcentral lists this ribosomal RNA (253 nucleotides) under uncultured bacterium. Its description in RNAcentral is "partial 16S ribosomal RNA". It matches the Rfam family "Bacterial small subunit ribosomal RNA", at positions 524 to 776 of the family's 1533-position model. The record is from RNAcentral.